RNAcentral lists this ribosomal RNA (207 nucleotides) under uncultured bacterium. RNAcentral's name for it is "partial 16S ribosomal RNA". It matches the Rfam family "Bacterial small subunit ribosomal RNA", at positions 568 to 774 of the family's 1533-position model. The record is from RNAcentral.
CGCGUAGGCGGCUUACCAAGUCCGGGGUGAAAUUUUGCGGCUUAACCGUAACAGUGCCUUGGAUACUGGUAGGCUCGAGGGAGAUAGGGGUUUGCGGAACUUCCGGUGGAGCGGUGAAAUGCGUUGAUAUCGGAAGGAACGCCGGUGGCGAAAGCGGCAAACUGGAUCUCUUCUGACGCUGAGGCGCGAAAGCUAGGGGAGCAAACG